CCUACGGGGGGCAGCAGUGGGGAAUAUUGCGCAAUGGGUGAAAGCCUGACGCAGCGACGCCGCGUGAGGGAUGAAGGUCUUCGGAUCGUAAACCUCUGUCAGCAGGGAAGAACGGUCACUGUGCUAAUCAGCAGUGAAUUGACGGUACCUGCAAAGGAAGCACCGGCUAACUCCGUGCCAGCAGCCGCGGUAAUACGGAGGGUGCGAGCGUUAAUCGGAAUUACUGGGCGUAAAGCGCUCGUAGGCGGUAUGUCAAGUCAAGGGUGAAAUCCCCGCGCUCAACGUGGGAACUGCCUUUGAAACUGGCAAACUGGAAGGUGUAGGAGGAUGGAGGAAUUCCAGGUGGAGGAGUGAAAUCCGUAGAUAUCUGGAGGAACAUCAGUGGCGAAGGCGACUAUCUGGCACAUAACUGACGCUGAGGAGCGAAAGCGUGGGUAGCAAACAGGAUUAGAUACCCGGGUAGUC
This 465-nucleotide ribosomal RNA is filed under the name uncultured bacterium. RNAcentral's name for it is "partial 16S ribosomal RNA". It matches the Rfam family "Bacterial small subunit ribosomal RNA", at positions 338 to 795 of the family's 1533-position model. The record is from RNAcentral.